UUUGAUCUAAGAUUCAAAUUCCGUGGUCUUCCACCUCUAAUUAAGGAGCUUUAUGUGCGAUGUCGAUUUCAGAAGUUCUUGGAUGCAGGUGAUACAUUUAAUGAAGUUUCAAAUUCUUAUAGCCAUCUGAGGACCCUUGGAAUCAAUGCAUUUUGUUUCGAAAAGGUGGAUGAAGUUGCAAGUUUGCUCUCUUUGAUUGGAGGAGCCUUAAACUUACAAAUACUUGAUAUAAAAGCAUGCAGCUGCAAAAAUGAAGCUGUCUCUGAACCU
Molecule: unclassified non-coding RNA, 270 nt
Filed under: Hevea brasiliensis (rubber tree)
Lineage: Eukaryota; Viridiplantae; Streptophyta; Magnoliopsida; Malpighiales; Euphorbiaceae
Source: RNAcentral